UGGGGAAUAUUGCACAAUGGGCGCAAGCCUGAUGCAGCCAUGCCGCGUGUAUGAAGAAGGCCUUCGGGUUGUGAAGUACUUUCAGCGGGGAGGAAGGGAGUAAAGUUAAUACCUUUGCUCAUUGACGUUACCCGCAGAAGAAGCACCGGCUAACUCCGUGCCAGCAGCCGCGGUAAUACGGAGGGUGCAAGCGUUAAUCGGAAUUACUGGGCGUAAAGCGCACGCAGGCGGUUUGUUAAGUCAGAUGUGAAAUCCCCGGGCUCAACCUGGGAACUGCAUCUGAUACUGGCAAGCUUGAGUCUCGUAGAGGGGGGUAGAAUUCCAGGUGUAGCGGUGAAAUGCGUAGAGAUCUGGAAGAAUACCGGUGGCGAAGGCGGCCCCCUGGACGAAGACUGACGCUCAGGUGCGAAAGCGUGGGGAGCAAACAGG
RNAcentral lists this ribosomal RNA (429 nucleotides) under Chloroflexota bacterium. RNAcentral's name for it is "Chloroflexi bacterium partial 16S ribosomal RNA". It matches the Rfam family "Bacterial small subunit ribosomal RNA", at positions 355 to 776 of the family's 1533-position model. Lineage: Bacteria; Bacillati; Chloroflexota. The record is from RNAcentral.